This 576-nucleotide ribosomal RNA is filed under the name uncultured bacterium. RNAcentral's name for it is "bacterial SSU rRNA". It matches the Rfam family "Bacterial small subunit ribosomal RNA", at positions 249 to 844 of the family's 1533-position model. The record is from RNAcentral.
UUGGUAAGGUAACGGCUUACCAAGGCGACGAUCAGUAGCCGACCUGAGAGGGUGAUCGGCCACAUUGGAACUGAGACACGGUCCAAACUCCUACGGGAGGCAGCAGUGGGGAAUAUUGCACAAUGGGCGAAAGCCUGAUGCAGCAACGCCGCGUGAGCGAUGAAGGCCUUCGGGUCGUAAAGCUCUGUCCUCAAGGAAGAUAAUGACGGUACUUGAGGAGGAAGCCCCGGCUAACUACGUGCCAGCAGCCGCGGUAAUACGUAGGGGGCUAGCGUUAUCCGGAAUUACUGGGCGUAAAGGGUGCGUAGGUGGUUUCUUAAGUCAGAGGUGAAAGGCUACGGCUCAACCGUAGUAAGCCUUUGAAACUGGGAAACUUGAGUACAGGAGAGGAGAGUGGAAUUCCUAGUGUAGCGGUGAAAUGCGUAGAUAUUAGGAGGAACACCAGUUGCGAAGGCGGCUCUCUGGACUGUAACUGACACUGAGGCACGAAAGCGUGGGGAGCAAACAGGAUUAGAUACCCUGGUAGUCCACGCCGUAAACGAUGAGUACUAGCUGUCGGAGGUUACCCCCUUCGGU